This 591-nucleotide ribosomal RNA is filed under the name uncultured Acidobacteriota bacterium. RNAcentral describes it as "bacterial SSU rRNA". It matches the Rfam family "Bacterial small subunit ribosomal RNA", at positions 56 to 624 of the family's 1533-position model. Lineage: Bacteria; Pseudomonadati; Acidobacteriota. The record is from RNAcentral.
UGCAGUCGAGCGCGAACGGGGACUUCGGUUCCUUAGUAGAGCGGCGAACGGGUGAGUAACACGUGGGUAAUCUGCCUCCGGGUGGGGAAUAACUCAGGGAAACUUGAGCUAAUUCCGCAUAACGUGGCCGAUCACAGGAUCGGCUACCAAAGCUGGGGACCCUUCGGGGCCUGGCGCCUGGAGAGGAGCCCGCGGCCAAUUAGCUUGUUGGUGAGGUAAUGGCUCACCAAGGCUCCGAUUGGUAGCCGGCCUGAGAGGGCGGACGGUCACACUGGAACUGAGACACGGUCCAGACUCCUACGGGAGGCAGCAGUGAGGAAUUUUCGUCAAUGGGGGAAACCCUGAACGAGCAACGCCGCGUGGAGGACGAAGACCUUCGGGUUGUAAACUCCUGUCGGACGGGACGAAAGUUAUCGAGGUUAAUACCCUUGGUAGUUGACGGUACCGUACGAGGAAGCCCCGGCUAACUUCGUGCCAGCAGCCGCGGUAAUACGAGGGGGGCAAGCGUUGUUCGGAAUUACUGGGCGUAAAGGGCGCGUAGGCGGUCUGACAAGUCUUCCGUGAAAGCCCACGGCUCAACCGUGGAACUGC